UCUACAAAUUACAGGACAACUGUUAACACAUAGUAGGAUACUCAUUACUUUGUGUGACAGGUUUCCCCAAUGUCAUUGGUGCAGUGGACUGCACACACAUAAGGAUAAAAGCCCCUCAGGUGCCCAAGAGGCCGAUUUUGUGAAUAGGAAAUCCUUUCACAGCAUUAAUGUUCAGAUGGUCUGCAAUGCUGACUGUGAUCAGCAAUGUUGUGGCAAAAUGGCCUGGCUCAGUCCAUGACUCCAGAAUCUUUCGGGCCUCUGAAAUCUAUCAGUGCCUAUCACAAGGGAGACAGGGGGUAUGGCUGCCAGCCUUUUCUCCUGACACCUUUCACAGACCCCCAGGAAGCACAGCAGGCCUACAACCAUGCCCAUGCCAGGGCCAGAGUUGAAAUGACCUUUGGCCUCCUGAAGGCACGCUUUCACUGCCUUCACAAAUUAAGGGUCAGCCCUGUUAGGGCAUGUGAUUAUUACUGUGGCUUGUGCUGUCCUCCACAAUGUGGCCUGCCUGAGGAAGGAGAGGGCCCCCAGAGUGCCACCAGCCAUGGACUGGGACAAUCCGGCAAUCUUCCCUGAUGACGACAGUGGUCGGCUGCUGAGGGACCAAUAUGUGUUGAAUUAUUUUAGUUAGUAUGUGUGCUUUCAAUUUUGGUUAAAUAUGUCCUGCGGUGGCAGAGGAAUUUGGGUUUUUUUGGGUUCGUUUUUUGACGAAUUUGGCCUCUUAUGAUGUUUGUGCGGUAUACUGUGUGUAAUACAAGGC
Molecule: long non-coding RNA, 757 nt
Organism: Oncorhynchus masou masou (cherry salmon)
Lineage: Eukaryota; Metazoa; Chordata; Actinopteri; Salmoniformes; Salmonidae
Exons: 3
Source: RefSeq, a predicted model, not a curated record